Molecule: transfer RNA, 73 nt
Filed under: Fasciola gigantica
Lineage: Eukaryota; Metazoa; Platyhelminthes; Trematoda; Plagiorchiida; Fasciolidae
Rfam family: tRNA
About the family: Transfer RNA (tRNA) molecules are approximately 80 nucleotides in length. Their secondary structure includes four short double-helical elements and three loops (D, anti-codon, and T loops). Further hydrogen bonds mediate the characteristic L-shaped molecular structure. tRNAs have two regions of fundamental functional importance: the anti-codon, which is responsible for specific mRNA codon recognition, and the 3' end, to which the tRNAs corresponding amino acid is attached (by aminoacyl-tRNA synthetases). tRNAs cope with the degeneracy of the genetic code in two manners: having more than one tRNA (with a specific anti-codon) for a particular amino acid; and 'wobble' base-pairing, i.e. permitting non-standard base-pairing at the 3rd anti-codon position.
Source: Rfam by way of RNAcentral
GUCGCGAUAGUUCAGGCGGUAGAACAACUGUCCGCUAAGCGGCAGGUCGCUGGUUCAAUUCCAGCUUGUGUCA